UGCCCCAAAGCAAAGCGAAUGGUCUGUUAGGGAGUCCAGAAUCCCGUGAACCGUGGUCACCAGUGGUCGCCACCACCGUUUGGUCUUCGACAGCUGCGUCCUGCGAGCGUUUCAGUCAGUUUCAGCCCUAUUCUGUGGUUUCAGUCACGCUGCAAGUAGGUUAGUGUCCCCUGUGCAGCACUCUGCAGUGUCCGAUAAGGUUUUCCGCUUUGGAUGCAAUGACAGUCCAGCUUCAGCGACAGAAGCGGUGACAUCAGUAGCAACGCAGGUUCCUCAGAGCGACGAUGGAGAGAGCGAACGAUGACCAUUGGGCGAUGGAACCAAAUCAGGACAUCAACGAGUCACUCCGAAGAUCGACUCCUCUUCAUCUUGAUCCAGUAGAGCCAUGGAUCUGCAACACAAGAGACGUUCAACUUCUUUUUUUGCAGAGGUACGUUUCAUUUAAUUGUAUCUCUUUCAAGAGUCCCUCGUAUAAUCCAACAUCUAGAGUUUUAGUAUAUGAAUUGCACCCCCUUAGAAAAGAUUUUCAAAAUCGUCCUCAUAGAAUCAGAUCACCCAGUAUUACCCAAUGAACUUGGUAAAUUCAUGCACCCCAUAAUAUAAUUCAUCAGACACGCCAAUAAGGCAAGACAUUAUUUAUUAUCACAUAACUUGGUACAAUUUAUUAUAAUUCAAACGUCUCAUAUACUUAUGUACUGAUUGUGAGUCAUAAAAUAAGUUAUACAUUGAGUUACAUGGUAUGUCAUACAUUAAGUCAUGUACUGCGUCAACUAAUUAUUUAUUUGUUAUUUAUGUUACAGGUUGCAGUUCCUCCAACGUCAUUGCCCGGACUCCCCCUGUUCACCAGGGGGAGUCCACCGUCCCCUGGGACAGCGCGGCCUCCCACCGCCCCCGGGGUCCCAGGGGACCCAGUCCCCGAGGACA
RNAcentral lists this unclassified non-coding RNA (924 nucleotides) under Athalia rosae (coleseed sawfly). RNAcentral describes it as "misc RNA ENSAEAG00005001907.1". The record is from RNAcentral. Lineage: Eukaryota; Metazoa; Arthropoda; Insecta; Hymenoptera; Athaliidae.